UGAGGAAUUUUGGACAAUAGACGCAAGCCUGAUCCAGCCAUGCCGCGUGCGGAAAGAAGACCUUCGGGUUGUAAACCGCUUUUGUCGGAGAAGAAAAGCCUUAAGUUAAUACCCUGAGGUGAUGACGGUACCCGAAGAAUAAGCACCGGCUAACUACGUGCCAGCAGCCACAGUAAUACGUAGGGUGCAAGCGUUAAUCGGAAUUACUGGGCGUAAAGCGUGCGCAGGCGGUUGUGUAAGACAGAUGUGAAAUCCCCAGGCUCAACCUGAGAACUGCAUUUGUGACUGCACAGCUGGAGUGCGACAGAGGAGGAUAGAAUUCCGCGUGUAGCAGUGAAAUGCGUAGAUAUGCGGAGGAACACCGAUGGCGAAGGCAAUCCCCUGGGCCUGCACUGACGCUCAUGCACGAAAGCGUGGAGAGCAAACA
RNAcentral lists this ribosomal RNA (427 nucleotides) under uncultured bacterium. RNAcentral's name for it is "bacterial SSU rRNA". It matches the Rfam family "Bacterial small subunit ribosomal RNA", at positions 355 to 774 of the family's 1533-position model. The record is from RNAcentral.